AUAAUGCAGUCGAGCGGACAGAAGGGAGCUUGCUCCCGGAUGUUAGCGGCGGACGGGUGAGUAACACGUGGGUAACCUGCCUGUAAGACUGGGAUAACUCCGGGAAACCGGAGCUAAUACCGGAUAGUUCCUUGAACCGCAUGGUUCAAGGAUGAAAGACGGUUUCGGCUGUCACUUACAGAUGGACCCGCGGCGCAUUAGCUAGUUGGUGAGGUAACGGCUCACCAAGGCGACGAUGCGUAGCCGACCUGAGAGGGUGAUCGGCCACACUGGGACUGAGACACGGCCCAGACUCCUACGGGAGGCAGCAGUAGGGAAUCUUCCGCAAUGGACGAAAGUCUGACGGAGCAACGCCGCGUGAGUGAUGAAGGUUUUCGGAUCGUAAAGCUCUGUUGUUAGGGAAGAACAAGUGCAAGAGUAACUGCUUGCACCUUGACGGUACCUAACCAGAAAGCCACGGCUAACUACGUGCCAGCAGCCGCGGUAAUACGUAGGUGGCAAGCGUUGUCCGGAAUUAUUGGGCGUAAAGGGCUCGCAGGCGGUUUCUUAAGUCUGAUGUGAAAGCCCCCGGCUCACCCGGGGAGGGUCAUUGGAAACUGGGAAACUUGAGUGCAGAAGAGGAGAGUGGAAUUCCACGUGUAGCGGUGAAAUGCGUAGAGAUGUGGAAGGAACACCAGUGGCGAAAGCGACUCCCUUUGGUCCUGUAACUGACGCUUAAGGAGCCGAAAGCGUUGGGGGAAGCGAAACAGGAAUAAAAUACCCUGGUAGUCCACCGCCGUAAACGAUGAGUGCUAAUGUUUAAGGGGGUUUCCGGCCCUUAAUGGCUGCAGCUACGCAUAGCACUCGCCUGGGGGAGUA
Molecule: ribosomal RNA, 858 nt
Filed under: uncultured bacterium
Lineage: Bacteria
Description: bacterial SSU rRNA
Rfam family: Bacterial small subunit ribosomal RNA
Source: RNAcentral